RNAcentral lists this ribosomal RNA (288 nucleotides) under Verrucaria placida. RNAcentral describes it as "partial 18S small subunit ribosomal RNA". The record is from RNAcentral. Lineage: Eukaryota; Fungi; Ascomycota; Eurotiomycetes; Verrucariales; Verrucariaceae.
GAAGUAAAAGUCGUAACAAGGUUUCCUUCUUUGAAGCCUUUUGCACCCGACUAUAACCACGUGCAGAGUCCACCUUAAGGGUGGGCGACGUCACCUAUCUGCUGGGAUCCACUUCCGUGGGGACCAGCAGCCAGAUAUGACUCUGUUAUACUUGGUCUACAGAUUAGGCGGUGGCGGUCAGCAUCAUGUCUCUCAAUAGGCAAGUUCUGAUCAAGAUAUAAUCGGUCGCUAUUGUUGGUGUAAAUAGUUGAGAAACGUUCCGUAGGUGAACCUGCGGAAGGAUCAUUA